Molecule: transfer RNA, 91 nt
Filed under: Sphaerobacteraceae bacterium
Lineage: Bacteria; Pseudomonadati; Thermomicrobiota; Thermomicrobia; Sphaerobacterales; Sphaerobacteraceae
Description: tRNA-Ser
Rfam family: tRNA
About the family: Transfer RNA (tRNA) molecules are approximately 80 nucleotides in length. Their secondary structure includes four short double-helical elements and three loops (D, anti-codon, and T loops).
Source: RNAcentral
GGAAGGGUCGCAUAGUCUGGCCUAGUGCGCGCGAUUGGAAAUCGCGUAGGGUUUAUAGCCCUCGAGGGUUCGAAUCCCUCCCCUUCCGCCA